AACGCUGGCAGAGUACAUAACACAUGCAAGUCGAGCGGGACUUACAGCGUAUCGUAAGUCUAGCGGCAGACGAGUGAGUAACACGUAAGCAACCUGCCCCUGAAUGGUGAAUAACGCCGCGAAAGCGGUGCUAAUACACCGUAUGAUCCUAGGAUGGCAUCAUCCCGGGAUGAGAGGCCCGCAAGGGUCGUUCAGGGAGGGGCUUGCGGCCCAUCAGCUAGUUGGUGAGGUAACGGCCCACCAAGGCUAUGACGGGUACCCGGCCUGAAAGGGCGAACGGGCACGAAGGCACUGAGACACGGGCCUUACUCCUACGGGAGGCAGCAGUGGGGAAUUUUGGACAAUGGGCGAAAGCCUGAUCCAUCAACUCUGCGUGAGGGACGAAGUCCUUCGGGAUGUAAACCUCUUUUGCCGGGGACGAAUACCCGCAAGGGUUUGACGGUACUCGGCGAAUAAGCCACGGCUAACUACGUGCCAGCAGCCGCGGUAAGACGUAGGUGGCGAGCGUUAUUCGGAAUUACUAGGCGUAAAGCGAGUGUAGGCGGGUGCUUAAGUCCGUCGUGAAAUCUCCCGGCCCAACUGGGAGGGGUCGAUGGAUACUGGGCGCCUAGAGUAGGGUAGGGGGCAGUGGAAUUCCCGGUGUAGCGGUGAAAUGCGUAGAUAUCGGGAGGAACACCUAUGGCGAAAGCAGCUGCCUGGUCCCUUACUGACGCUGAGGCUCGAAAGCUAGGGGAGCAAACAGGAUUAGAUACCCUGGUAGUCCUAGCCGUAAACGAUGCUGACUAGGUGUAGGAGGUAUCGACCCCUCCUGUGCCGCCGCUAACGCAUUAAGUCAGCCGCCUGGGGAGUACGGCC
This 855-nucleotide ribosomal RNA is filed under the name uncultured bacterium. Its description in RNAcentral is "bacterial SSU rRNA". It matches the Rfam family "Bacterial small subunit ribosomal RNA", at positions 32 to 887 of the family's 1533-position model. The record is from RNAcentral.